UACGUAGGGUGCAAGCGUUAUCCGGAAUUAUUGGGCGUAAAGAGCUCGUAGGCGGUUUGUCGCGUCUGCUGUGAAAACCUAAGGCUCAACCUUGGGCUUGCAGUGGGUACGGGCAGACUAGAGUGCGGUAGGGGUGACUGGAAUUCCUGGUGUAGCGGUGGAAUGCGCAGAUAUCAGGAGGAACACCGAUGGCGAAGGCAGGUCACUGGGCCGCAACUGACGCCUGGAGGAGCGAAAGCAUGGGGAGCGAACAGG
RNAcentral lists this ribosomal RNA (255 nucleotides) under uncultured bacterium. Its description in RNAcentral is "partial 16S ribosomal RNA". It matches the Rfam family "Bacterial small subunit ribosomal RNA", at positions 524 to 776 of the family's 1533-position model. The record is from RNAcentral.